This 468-nucleotide ribosomal RNA is filed under the name Bactrocera murrayi. RNAcentral describes it as "partial 16S ribosomal RNA". Lineage: Eukaryota; Metazoa; Arthropoda; Insecta; Diptera; Tephritidae. The record is from RNAcentral.
UAGUUUUUUUAGAAAUAAAUUUAAUUUACAAAUUUUUGAUUUUUUGGUUAUUUUUUAAAUCGAAAAAUUUAUUUAUUUGAAUAUCUUAAGGGAUAAGCUUUAAGAUAAAUUAUUAAAAAUUAAUAGUAAUAGUAUAAAAUGUAUGCUUAGAAUUAGCAAUCAUUACAGAGUUUGUUAUAAAUUAUUUUAUGAAUUAUAUUAUUUAUUAUAUUUUAAUUGAUUUAUAAAAAUUUUUUUAUUAAUUAAAUAUAAAAGGGAAUAAUGAUAGAAUUAGUAUAUUUUUUUGUUUAUGUAAUUUUAUAUGAUAAGUUUAUGUAAAGAACUCGGCAAAAAUUUUACCCGCCUGUUUAACAAAAACAUGUCUUUUUGAGUUAUUUUUAAAGUCUGACCUGCCCACUGAAAUUAUUUAAAUGGCCGCAGUAUUCUAACUGUGCAAAGGUAGCAUAAUCAUUAGUCUUUUAAUUGAAG